UCCCAGAGGUUCAGGAGGCUGAGGAAGGAGGAUUGUGAGUUGGAAGCUAGCCUCAGCAAUUUAGUAAGGCCUUAAGCAAUUUAGCAAGACAUGGUCUCUAAAUAUAAAAGGGCUGGGGAUGUGGCUCAGUGGUUAAAUGCCCAGGGUUCAAUCGCCAGUGUGCUCCGCCCCCCACAAAAGAAUAUUACUGAAGAGUUGAAAUCAUGACUGACACUAAAUUCAACACUUGUUAAAAAUUUAAUUCAACUGGAAUGGAACAGUAAGAUCAGUAAAACUGAUGCAAGAAACAUUGGGAGGAAUUGAAGUUUAUUUUUUAUUUUUUUGAUACUGGGGAUUGAACUCAGGAGCACUCGACCACUGAGCUGCAUUCCUAGCCCUAUUUUGUAUUUUAUUUGGAGACAGGGUCUCACUGAGUUGCUUAGUGCCUCACUGUUGCUGAAGCUGGCUUUGAACUCUUGAUCCUCCUGCCUCAGCCUCCCGAGCCACUAGGAUUACGGGUGUGCCCCACCGUGCCCAGCUGGAGGAACUGAAAUUUAUAUGGUCCUUUUUAAAAAGCUAGAAUGAAAUUAAUAAAUUCAAUUUAGAAAAACAACCUCCAUAAAUCUGACUCAUGCCUGUUGCAGCAAUCUAGAGUAAACUCUGGCAUUAUCUUGUGUUAUCUUUUGUUAUCAGACACAAAUCCACAAGUUAACCUGUAACUUUACCAAGCCUCCUCUCUUAAUUAAAAGUAAAUAAUUCUGGGCCCAGUGGCGCACACAUCUGUAAUCCCAGUAGCUCGGGAGUUCAAACCCAGCCUCAGCAAUUUAGUGAGGCCCUAUGCAACUCAGUGAGACCCAGUCUCUAAAUAAAACACAAAAAGGACUGGAGAUGUGAUUCAGGGGUUCAGCACCCCUGGGUUCAAUCCCUAGUACCCCCCCCCCAAAAAAAAAAGUAAAUAGCAAACCAGGCACAGUGGCACUUGCCUGUAAUCCCAGUGGCUGGGGAGGCUGAGGCAGGAGGAUCAUGAGUUCAAACCCAACCUCAGCAAAAAUCAGGCACUAAGCAACUCAGUGAGGCCCUGUCUCCAAAUAAAAUACAAAAUAGGGUUGGGGAUGUGGCUCAUUUGUCAAGUGCCCUUGAGUUCAAUCCCUGGUACCCCACCACACACACACACACACCCACCAAGGAAAUAGCAGCCAGGCACCAUGGUACGUGUUUAAAUCCCAGCCUCUGAGGACACAGGAGUUCAAAGCCAGACACAGCAAGUUAGCAAGGCCCUAAGCAACUUAGUGAGACCCUGUCUCUAUGUCUCUAAAUAAAAUACUUUUUAAGAAAGGGCUAGGGAUGUGGCUCAGUGGUUAAGCACACCAGGGUUCAAUCCCGGAAGGAAGGAAGGAAGGAAGGGAUGGUCCUCCCCUUUCUUGCCUCAGCCUCCUGAGCCAAAGGGCUUGGGCCAGAUCAGAUCUUCCAGCUGGUUCAAUAGAUGAGACUGAUUUUUUUAAUCUCCAAAAUAUACACCAAAGAUUUCAUCCUCCCCUCCCCCACAGCUACCCCACUCCCGC
RNAcentral lists this long non-coding RNA (1541 nucleotides) under Marmota monax (woodchuck). The record is from RNAcentral. Lineage: Eukaryota; Metazoa; Chordata; Mammalia; Rodentia; Sciuridae.